UACGUAGGGGGCAAGCGUUGUCCGGAAUCAUUGGGCGUAAAGCGCGUGUAGGCGGCUCAGUAAGUCCGCUCUGAAAGCCCGGGGCUUAACCCCGGGAGGCGGGUGGAUACUGCUGAGCUCGAGUCCGGAAGAGGCGAGUGGAAUUCCCGGUGUAGCGGUGAAAUGCGCAGAUAUCGGGAGGAACACCAAUGGCGAAGGCAGCUCGCUGGGACGUGACUGACGCUGAGACGCGAAAGCGUGGGGAGCAAACAGG
Molecule: ribosomal RNA, 253 nt
Filed under: uncultured bacterium
Lineage: Bacteria
Description: partial 16S ribosomal RNA
Rfam family: Bacterial small subunit ribosomal RNA
Source: RNAcentral